RNAcentral lists this ribosomal RNA (252 nucleotides) under uncultured bacterium. RNAcentral's name for it is "partial 16S ribosomal RNA". It matches the Rfam family "Bacterial small subunit ribosomal RNA", at positions 524 to 776 of the family's 1533-position model. The record is from RNAcentral.
UACGUAGGUGACAAGCGUUGUCCGGAUUUACUGGGCGUAAAGAGCGCGCAGGCGGUCGAUCAAGUCGAGUGUGAAAGCCCCCGGCUCAACUGGGGAGGGUCAUUGAUACUGAUCGACUCGAAGGCAGGAGAGGGUAGUGGAAUUCCCGGUGUAGUAGUGAAAUGCGUAGAUAUCGGGAGGAACACCAGUGGCGAAGGCGACUACCUGGCCUGUUCUUGACGCUGAGGCGCGAAAGCUAGGGGAGCAAACGGG